RNAcentral lists this transfer RNA (88 nucleotides) under Burkholderiales bacterium. RNAcentral describes it as "tRNA-Ser". The record is from RNAcentral. Lineage: Bacteria; Pseudomonadati; Pseudomonadota; Betaproteobacteria; Burkholderiales.
GUACAUCGAGGCCUGCGGGCUCGCGCCGUCGAACGUCGCCGGCGCGCUCGGCGCGCGCGCGGGCCUGUUCGAGGCGGGCGAAGUGCGC